AACACAUGCAAGUCGAGGGGCAGCAUGGUCUUAGCUUGCUAAGACUGAUGGCGACCGGCGCACGGGUGAGUAACACGUAUCCAACCUGCCGUCUACUCUUGGACAGCCUUCUGAAAGGAAGAUUAAUACAAGAUGGCAUCAUGAGUCCGCAUGUUCACAUGAUUAAAGGUAUUCCGGUAGACGAUGGGGAUGCGUUCCAUUAGAUAGUAGGCGGGGUAACGGCCCACCUAGUCUUCGAUGGAUAGGGGUUCUGAGAGGAAGGUCCCCCACAUUGGAACUGAGACACGGUCCAAACUCCUACGGGAGGCAGCAGUGAGGAAUAUUGGUCAAUGGGCGAGAGCCUGAACCAGCCAAGUAGCGUGAAGGAUGACUGCCCUAUGGGUUGUAAACUUCUUUUAUAAAGGAAUAAAGUCGGGUAUGUAUACCCGUUUGCAUGUACUUUAUGAAUAAGGAUCGGCUAACUCCGUGCCAGCAGCCGCGGUAAUACGGAGGAUCCGAGCGUUAUCCGGAUUUAUUGGGUUUAAAGGGAGCGUAGAUGGAUGUUUAAGUCAGUUGUGAAAGUUUGCGGCUCAACCGUAAAAUUGCAGUUGAUACUGGAUAUCUUGAGUGCAGUUGAGGCAGGCGGAAUUCGUGGUGUAGCGGUGAAAUGCUUAGAUAUCACGAAGAACUCCGAUUGCGAAGGCAGCCUGCUAAGCUGCAACUGACAUUGAGGCUCGAAAGUGUGGGUAUCAAACAGG
Molecule: ribosomal RNA, 737 nt
Filed under: uncultured Bacteroidales bacterium
Lineage: Bacteria; Pseudomonadati; Bacteroidota; Bacteroidia; Bacteroidales
Description: bacterial SSU rRNA
Rfam family: Bacterial small subunit ribosomal RNA
Source: RNAcentral